CACAGCAACCAGGUUCAGGAAGUGGGGCUAGGCAGAAAGUGGUGGUCGGUCCAGAAAGAGGUCAAAUCCAGGUAGGCAGAGAUCAGGAAAGUCCGGCAGGGGAUCAGGCAACGGGGAGUCCAGGCGGAGGACGGUUAACAAUAAU
Molecule: long non-coding RNA, 145 nt
Organism: Melanotaenia boesemani (Boeseman's rainbowfish)
Lineage: Eukaryota; Metazoa; Chordata; Actinopteri; Atheriniformes; Melanotaeniidae
Exons: 3
Source: RefSeq, a predicted model, not a curated record